UACCUGCGGAAGGAUCAUUASCGAGUGAGGGCCMUCUGGGUCCAACCUCCCACCCGUGUUUAUUUUACCUUGUUGCUUCGGCGGGCCCGCCUUAACUGGCCGCCGGGGGGCUUACGCCCCCGGGCCCGCGCCCGCCGAAGACACCCUCGAACUCUGUCUGAAGAUUGUAGUCUGAGUGAAAAUAUAAAUUAUUUAAAACUUUCAACAACGGAUCUCUUGGUUCCGGCAUCGAUGAAGAACGCAGCGAAAUGCGAUACGUAAUGUGAAUUGCAAAUUCAGUGAAUCAUCGAGUCUUUGAACGCACAUUGCGCCCCCUGGUAUUCCGGGGGGCAUGCCUGUCCGAGCGUCAUUGCUGCCCUCAAGCACGGCUUGUGUGUUGGGCCCCGUCCUCCGAUCCCGGGGGACGGGCCCGAAAGGCAGCGGCGGCACCGCGUCCGGUCCUCGAGCGUAUGGGGCUUUGUCACCCGCUCUGUAGGCCCGGCCGGCGCUUGCCGAUCAACCCAAAUUUUUAUCCAGGUUGACCUCGGAUCAGGUARGGAUMCCCRMWGAACUUAAGCAUAUCAAUAAGCCGGAGGAAAUC
Molecule: ribosomal RNA, 580 nt
Filed under: Penicillium granulatum
Lineage: Eukaryota; Fungi; Ascomycota; Eurotiomycetes; Eurotiales; Aspergillaceae
Description: eukaryotic LSU rRNA
Rfam family: 5.8S ribosomal RNA (bases 197-349)
Source: RNAcentral